AUUGAACGCUGGCGGCAUGCCUAACCCAUGCAAGUCGAGCGAGCGGCGGACGGGUGAGUAAUGUAUGGGGACUGCCCGAUAGAGGGGGAUAACUACUGGAAAAGGUAGCUAAUACCGCAUACUAUCGGAUAACCCAUAUGGGAUUAGCUAGUAGGUAAGGUAAUGGCUGACCUAGGCGACGAUCCCUAGCUGGUCUGAGAGGAUGAUCAGCCACACUGGAACUGAUACACGGCCCAGACUCCUACGGAGGCAGCAGUAGGGAAUAUUGCACAAUGGGCGAAAGGCUGAUGCAGCCAUGCCGCGUGUAUGAUGAAGGCCCUAGGGUUGUAAAGUACUUUCAGUCGGGAGGCGUUACCGACAGAAGAAGCACCGGCUAACUCCGUGCCAGCAGCCGCGGUAAUUC
Molecule: ribosomal RNA, 403 nt
Filed under: uncultured bacterium
Lineage: Bacteria
Description: partial 16S ribosomal RNA
Rfam family: Bacterial small subunit ribosomal RNA
Source: RNAcentral